UUCGUAGGCGGUGUGGCAAGUCGGAAGUGAAAUCUCCAGGCUCAACUUGGAGGCUGCUCCCGAAACUGCCGCGCUAGAGUGCGGGAGAGGCCAGUGGAAUUGCAGGUGUAGCGGUGAAAUGCGUAGAUAUCUGCAGGAACACCCGUGGCGAAGGCGGCUGGCUGGACCGCAACUGACGCUGAGGAACGAAAGCUAGGGGAGCAAACA
This 207-nucleotide ribosomal RNA is filed under the name uncultured bacterium. Its description in RNAcentral is "partial 16S ribosomal RNA". It matches the Rfam family "Bacterial small subunit ribosomal RNA", at positions 568 to 774 of the family's 1533-position model. The record is from RNAcentral.